GUUUUAGUACUAUCAGUUUAGCGAGAGCGGGGGUUCAAUCACAAUGGCUUCCGCAGUGAGGGUGGCUUUGAGAUCCUUCGGUAAUCGUUCUAGAAGCUUCGUCAAGAGCUCAACCACGCCGUUUGUGUUCACUUCGUCUUCCGCAUCGUGCAUCUCUCGUGCUUCGAGGGUUUUGUCGGUUAUGAUAAGCGUUGAUUCGUUGAUGCCUCUUCACAGUGCUGUCGCUAAUGCUAGGCUCACCUCCAAUAUCGCCUUCGAUUCCACCUGCUGGAGCUCGCUUUCUCGAGGACUUAAAAAAACAUUGUGACAGGCCUGCUGGAUCCAUUCAAGAUGAAAGAAAAAAUGAAAAAGAGAGAAUCGUAACUUUUCUUUUGUCUCACCCUAGGAUGGGAAAAGAUCUUCAAACAUUUAAAUUGUGGUCAGUUGCACUAUGAUUCCCUCCAACUGCAGACUUGUAUAAUUGGAUUUCCUCAUUGACUGAGAAUGGAUGACCAACAUGCUCCCAAUUACACUUUCCCAAAAUCUUCUUGAAUGGAUUUGGAAGGAUUCACAAUAAGAUGCAAGCUUCCUUAAGGAUUUUAAAAUGAUGUUUCAGACUUUGCAGUUCCUCGGUGACAAAGAGUCAAAGACUAAAGGAUACCGUCAUAUCAAAUCCUAGUUGGGUUGCAUUAGAGUUAAUGUUGGUUCACAUCUUACUCCUGGUCUAUUUCCUUUAUGGCAUACCUUGGAGCAUCACAGUCCAGUCUGAAAAAUAAUAUUAUUCUUUUAAUGAUGUAAACCUCGUAUUUGAUCACAAGAUUGUGAUACAAGGCAACGGUUCUAAAAUUUGAUGAAUUAUAUUUCGCUUUCCUUUUGAA
RNA transcript from Glycine soja, 857 nucleotides. RefSeq lists it as uncharacterized. The transcript is spliced from 4 exons. The record is from RefSeq and is a predicted model, not a curated record. Lineage: Eukaryota; Viridiplantae; Streptophyta; Magnoliopsida; Fabales; Fabaceae.